This is a long non-coding RNA of Arabidopsis lyrata subsp. lyrata, 1868 nucleotides long. RefSeq lists it as uncharacterized. The transcript is spliced from 5 exons. Lineage: Eukaryota; Viridiplantae; Streptophyta; Magnoliopsida; Brassicales; Brassicaceae. The record is from RefSeq and is a predicted model, not a curated record.
AAGACUUAACUUCUAGUUUUUUUUUCUAAGUCUUUACUCGUCGUCUUCUUCUCUAAAAAAAGUUCUCUCAUCUCUAGAUCCACACCACCGCCUAGCCACAUACCUUUUCAGUUGACAUGGCCUCGUCUCCUCCGUCUUCCACCGUUAAAGCCUCAUGGAUUUGAAUCGGUGUGUCAAGGAGAUGAAUUCGCACAAGAUAAAUUGAAUCGGUAAGGAGAUCGGAAACCAGAUGGUGGUGACAAGAAGGAGAAGAAGUUCGAACGAGCCGCACCACCUGCUCGUGUUGGGAGGAAGCAACGGAAGCAGAAAGGACUUGAAGCGGCGGCUAAAUUUCAGACCGUGACUCCUACUAAAUGAAAGCUUCGAUUGCUUAAUAUAAAGCGAUUAGUACAUAAAUGAUUGGAUCAUGACCCUCUAUUUCCCUAAUUCGAGUAAGUUCCUUCAUCUUUCUUGAUUGGGUUGUUGAAAAAUUGUAACUUAAUGGUUCUACUCCAAGUUAACUGUUCUAAUUGAAAACUGGAAACUUGAGCAGAAAUACGAAGCUAGUCGAAAAGCUGAAUGAUGCAUACAAGAAAUUCAUGGAUUUGCCUAACGACUUAUUUUUCAGUUUUGUCUACGACUCUAGCAUGGAUUGUUGAGUGUUAUAUCUUUUUAAUAUGUCUUAUGCUUGCUUUGAUUUGUUGUUAAUAUGUCUUUUUAAGGAGAUGAAAUCCACCGAUAGCCUGGUAUGCUUCCACUUUCUCGUCUCUCAUGCUAGUAAAUUUAUGCUUGCUUUGAUUUGUUGUUAUGUAAUUGAUUUUAUUUUAAGGGGUUACGUUUUUAGAGUUCUAUGUGCACACAAGGUGUUCGACGAAUUGACUGUGAGACAGAAACUGAGAAACGACUCUCUCAACAUGUCUUCCUAUGAUGAUCUUUCAUGUUUGCUAAUUGAAUGUAAAAAUUUGACCUUUGCUUUUGUAGUCUAAAAUGGUGGACUAUAUCCUUGAAGUCUCUAAUCCUAUGAAACAGCACUUUGAGGUGAGUAAUAUUUUUUGUCUGUAAGCUCUUAGUGCUAAGAAGUUUGUAAUUGUGAUUUGGCAGCUCAUUUUAAUGUGGAGGGUUUUGGUUAUGUCCAGUUAACACUAUAACCUCAAGUUUUGUGAAUAGAAAAACGUCUAUAGAUUAAGACCACCACUAGGUAACUAGAAACUCUUCAUUCAAGAGAAUGGCUCUGCUUUCAUGUUCGAAGAGAGAUCUAUUAAUAAGAUGGUUGUUGGCAUUCUCUCUUCAUGCACCAUCAAAAGUGUGUUCUUGUAGACACUCAUGAUGUUGGUAAUAACUGUAAGGUCACAGCUUUUAUUGGAGGUAUAGAUCUUUGUGAUGGCCGCUAUGACACACCUGAUCUUGAAACUGUGUUUAAGGAUGAUUUUCACAAUCCUACAUUUCCUGCUGGUACUAAGGAUCCAAAACAGCCUUGGCAUGAUUUGCACUGAAUGAUAGAUGGGCAUGCGGUCAAUGCAAGAAGGACGUCAUUGUAAGGAGGACAUAGAGAACAUGACAUGGAAAUGGCAACAAUAGUCUAGAGUAUUGGAUUAAACUUUGCUAGGGCGGAUAAUGACCAAGCGAUCUUCCUCUUCCAACCUCUUCUUCUAUGAACUACAAAGUGAUGAUUUCAAGGUAAAAGUUAUGGCUGAUGGCACGUGAAUGCUUUGUUUAGGCGGUAAGAUUUAGAAAAGAAAAUUUGUUUGAUCAAGUUAGUUGAUUGUGUUUGGUAGAAUCUGUGAUUAUCGAUAGGGGAAGUUUGUUUCUCUUUGCCCCUUAUCUCAUAAAUUAGUACUCUUGUUAUUUAAGAGUCGUUGAUGUAUUUAUAUAAGAUUUGGUUUGGAUUA